This 765-nucleotide ribosomal RNA is filed under the name uncultured Streptococcus sp. RNAcentral describes it as "bacterial SSU rRNA". It matches the Rfam family "Bacterial small subunit ribosomal RNA", at positions 28 to 776 of the family's 1533-position model. Lineage: Bacteria; Bacillati; Bacillota; Bacilli; Lactobacillales; Streptococcaceae. The record is from RNAcentral.
GACGAACGCUGGCGGCGUGCCUAAUACAUGCAAGUAGAACGCUGAAGAGAGGAGCUUGCUCUUCUUGGAAGAGUUGCGAACGGGUGAGUAACGCGUAGGUAACCUGCCUUGUAGCGGGGGAUAACUAUUGGAAACGAUAGCUAAUACCGCAUAACAAUGGGUGACCCAUGUCAUUCAUUUGAAAGGGGCAACUGCUCCACUACAAGAUGGACCUGCGUUGUAUUAGCUAGUAGGUGAGGUAACGGCUCACCUAGGCGACGAUACAUAGCCGACCUGAGAGGGUGAUCGGCCACACUGGGACUGAGACACGGCCCAGACUCCUACGGGAGGCAGCAGUAGGGAAUCUUCGGCAAUGGGGGCAACCCUGACCGAGCAACGCCGCGUGAGUGAAGAAGGUUUUCGGAUCGUAAAGCUCUGUUGUGAGUCAAGAACGAGUGUGAGAGUGGAAAGUUCACACUGUGACGGUAGCUUACCAGAAAGGGACGGCUAACUACGUGCCAGCAGCCGCGGUAAUACGUAGGUCCCGAGCGUUGUCCGGAUUUAUUGGGCGUAAAGCGAGCGCAGGCGGUUUGAUAAGUCUGAAGUUAAAGGCUGUGGCUCAACCAUAGUUCGCUUUGGAAACUGUCAAACUUGAGUGCAGAAGGGGAGAGUGGAAUUCCAUGUGUAGCGGUGAAAUGCGUAGAUAUAUGGAGGAACACCGGUGGCGAAAGCGGCUCUCUGGUCUGUAACUGACGCUGAGGCUCGAAAGCGUGGGGAGCGAACAGG